Taeniopygia guttata (zebra finch) is the source of this 2392-nucleotide long non-coding RNA. The record is from Ensembl. Lineage: Eukaryota; Metazoa; Chordata; Aves; Passeriformes; Estrildidae.
UUUUUUUCUUUUUUUGUUUUUUUUUUCAGAGAAUCAUUCUAGAAGGAGAAAGAAGAGCUCCAUCUCUUCUUUGUAUGAAGUCAUACAAAGCAUGCCCAAAAAUGUUAUCCUGUAUUUGUUUGAAAGGUGUGCUGCUCUUGCUUCUUGCAAGAGGAGGGAGUUUGAGAUCUGUCCCUGGCUUUGUCAUGUUGGGUAUUUGCUAUAUGUUUAUUCCAGUGAAUGUAUAAUAUCCACCCUUUAGGGCAGAUCAGUAAAUCAAUUCCUACAGCUGUACAACCCUGAGCAUUUCAUGCAUGCAAUUAAUAAAACUAUAGGUUUGAAUGUCCAGCAAUUAAAAAUUAAUUCAACUUCUUUUUCUAUCUCACAGAAAAUCUGGGUUUGCAAUAAACUAGAAUACUUCAUACAAUACAGAUGCCUCCAUUCUCUGCACACCUGUAACUCAGUCUGAUCUACAACAAUGAUAAAAGUUGCAGGUUGUAGUUUCACACAAAUCCAACGUUUUUCCUGAGUUUUUUGCUCACAUUGAAAUUAUCUUAAGGACUUACUUUUGCUUUCUCCUUCAACUCUGGAAAGAUAUGAUUCGUUUAUCCUGUGUUGGUAAAUAGGCCAACCUCAUCGUGCUGUUUUCAAUUGAAUUAAUUCUGUGUAAAAUGUAUUUUCUUCCAGUUGUCUUGUAGACAUCUUUUUCUGACCUGCACAUCCAAUUCCUCUGCAUUGUUCACAUUUAACAAAUUAUCAUAUAAUUUCAGAGACAACUGUUCAGCUUUAUAAAAUAUGAAACAACAUUAAUAGUUAAUAUUUUAUCAAUUAGCAUUUUAAAAAUAUUUAUUAUAUUUUAGUAUGAUGAGGGCCAGCCCCAACAAUUUAAUGCAAAAAAAAAAUUUUUAUAAAACUUAGAUUAAUACAUAAAUGUUAACACACUUGAAAUAUAAGCUGCAGUUACAAGAGGUGAGCUUGCAAUUACAGUUCCUAUAAACUGUUUGCACAAUGAUGCUGUGAAAAAAAAAAAAACAACUACUUUUUCACUGACAUAACUCUGGGUUCUUGACUAGUACCAGUCUCCGCAUUAUUUAAAAAAGACAAUUCCAUAUUAAUGGACACUGCAAAUCCCCACACCCCUGACACAAGACUGACACCAUGAAUGCUUUCAAGCAUCAGCACUUCAUUAUUCCCCAGUGCAGCCUUUUAUACCCCUUUGCCCUAUGCAUAACACCUGUGUGCCCUUUUAGCCCCUUGUCAUUGCUCAGUGCACUUCAGCGUUUCAGCGCUCCUUUUCCCUUAACAUGGUCACCUGUUUUACACAGCUGCACCUUACCAGGGGUGAGCUUGCCUGCAGCACUAUCUCUAUUCUCUUACAAUGCAUUCUCUCACACACCCCCCAGUCUUACACAAACCUCUCAGUUGUGCUUGCAGCACAGAAAUGUAGAUACAGGUUUGUUUUUUCCUGAUUAGCAAUUGCACACCCUCCAUGCUCUAGAGAUUAGAGGACAAGGUCUCUGUUUCAUGGGUGGUAUCGUACAGAUAAUUAAUAAAAAAUGAAACAGGGGGCCUAAAACUACAUCCUGCUUCAGAAAAAAAAAAAAAUCAAGAUUUCUUAAUAUUGGAGAUUAAUGUAGACACAGUGGUUUGAGGCUUGAUUAUCUCCUGGUUUAUUCUCUCCCUCUAGUGGUACAUCCCCAGGAAGAGAGUAUCCACUGGGUAUUAAAUGACAAUGUUCAUAUUUUCCACACAAUUAUAAAUGGGAAAGCUUUAAGAAAUGGCCCUACAUGGAGAAGUUUCACAAAUGCAUUUUUUGCAACACUGUUGGAAUUUUUCCUUCUCUUUUUUCUGCCUAAGUCAGUUCUUGAUAACAAAUAAACAAUUUUCUGUGCAGAAAACAAACAUCUUUUGGAGUACACAGAAUCACAAAGUAGCUGCAGUUAAAAUCACUUGUGGAAUCAGCAGAACACAGAGAUGGAAACAAUCACUGUCAUUUUUAAAGCAGCAACAGCAAGCCUACUCAUUUGUUUGCAGUUCUGCAGCACAAAAGUCGCAGCUUUGAUGAGUUCCUCAUCCUGAGAUUCUGUCAAUAGCUGAAUCAUAAGUGGCAGACCAUUGUUCUGAAGCAGCUCACACUGGUUUUCUUCUAGAACAAGACAUGGUAAAGGAAAAGGUUUGAUUUCAGCCCCACACACCUUAACCUUACAGUAAUUUUAGGAGCCAAAACUGGCAACUUUCUGCAAGUUUCUGUAGAAAGAGAGGUUUUCAUUACAGACCCAAGCGUGCUGCAGUGACAGCAGGAGAGCUUUACAUCACACAGGAUGAUUUGACCAGAACUCAGAUUUCUGUAAGAGUUUGAAGGAUUGAGACCACUUAUUCGAUGGAGUUCCAAGCUCAUUUAAUUGUGGCCUAA